UCAGCUCCCUCACGCGCACUGAUGCCAGAGCCGGAAUAUGACAUCAUAUUCCGGCUCCGGCAUCAGUGAUGUGCGCGAGGGAGCUGA
Pelobates cultripes (western spadefoot toad) is the source of this 87-nucleotide non-coding RNA. NCBI's taxonomy places the organism in Eukaryota, Metazoa, Chordata, Amphibia, Anura, Pelobatidae. The record is from the annotation of a GenBank genome assembly.